CACCCCUGAUUUUUUAUAUAUUAUUAUUGGGCUUCGUGUAGGUAUCCUCAAUUCGCGGAAAUUCGACAGUUGUCCGGAUCUGUGAAUUUCCGGCCAGACAGACCAGCUACCGGAAAAGUCUCCGAAUUGGAUCGAGGUUUUGGCUACCCCACCAUUGUCAUGCAUCCCGAGCGCGUUCCCGAAGUCGGAAUCGGCAAAGGUGAGCCGGGACAGCCUUCUUCCUCCGCCCAGCCGCCACAGUAAUUUGUCGUCAAGUUUGUGAGUAAAAUAUUGAUUUUAAUUAUAAUUUCGAUAUUAUUAUAUGUUCAGCAUGCCCAUGCAUCACUUAUAUGCAUAUAUAUUUAUGUAGUUAAACUCUAGGCACGAUUUAUGAUGCAUUGAUAAAUGUUAAAGUGCCAUGAGUGUUGUUGUGGUAAUUUGGAGCAGUGUGCGUGCGUUGGCGUGCGUGUGAUGUGGUGUGGACUAUGGAUAGGACAGGUAGACACGGCUUGAGUUCUUCGCUGGGACCCGGUCCUUCGGGGUAGACACGGCUUGAGUUCUUCGCUGGGACCCCGAUUUGGUAUUAAGCGAAAGUCCGGCUUGAGUUCUUCGCUGGCACCAGGUUGGAUUUAAGAGAGCUGUAUAGGGGAUCAGCUCCCAAUAUAUUAUGAUU
Long non-coding RNA from Hevea brasiliensis (rubber tree), 652 nucleotides. RefSeq lists it as uncharacterized. The record is from RefSeq and is a predicted model, not a curated record. The transcript is spliced from 2 exons. NCBI's taxonomy places the organism in Eukaryota, Viridiplantae, Streptophyta, Magnoliopsida, Malpighiales, Euphorbiaceae.